This is a non-coding RNA of Salmo salar (Atlantic salmon), 1229 nucleotides long. NCBI's taxonomy places the organism in Eukaryota, Metazoa, Chordata, Actinopteri, Salmoniformes, Salmonidae. The record is from RefSeq and is a predicted model, not a curated record.
CCUACCAGACGAGCUAAAUGCCUUUUAUGCUCGCUUCGAGGCAAGCAACACUGAAGUAUGCAUGAGAGCACCAACUGAUCUGGAUGACUGUGUGAUCACCCUCUUCGUUGCCGAUGUGAGCAACAUUCACAAGGCCGCGGGGCCAGACAGAUUACCAGGACGUGUACUCAGAGCAUGAACGGACCAAGUGUCUUCACUGACAUUUUCAACCUCUCCCUGACCAUGUCCGUAAUACCUACAUGUUUCAAGCAGACCACCAAAGUCUCUGUGCCAAAGAAAGUGAAGGUAACCUGCCUGAAUGACUACCGCUCCGUAAGACUCACGUCAGUAGUCAUGAAGGGCAUUGAGAGGCUGGUCAUGACUCAUAUGUGACCCAAUUCGGGAAACUAUGCGUAUGUGGCAAAUCACGACUUCACAGGAUAGCCGUUUGAACGUAAAAAAUAUAUUUUUUAAUCAAAAUGCGUUUUUUUUUAGCAGAAAUGCUUUCUCGAACAUGUGAAAUGUCAUGUGCUUUAUUAAUAACAAACUCAUAUGCCAUCUGUAAAUACCAAUAAAAUUGUUGAAUUACGAGCCUUGUUGUUUAAGCCACAGUGUUAUUUAAGCCACAGGAAAGUUGGCAAACUUCCCAUUAGCCAUGAUUGGCUGAGAUAAUGAGUGGGCUGGACAUGCCAAGAGAGGAGUUUGGAUUGGUCUGCCAUAUUGAAGGUUUCUGUCUAUUUGAGCUCGUCAGUCUGUGUUGGUAAUCCUGCCACAAGCGGCUUUUAAAAAAUGUAUUGUGUAGUGGAGCUGCAUAAGCGUUGCUCUCCAUUUUCUGGAGGAUCAAGUUUUGAAAUCAGUGGAAUUAGAGUAUGAUAGCUAAAGAGAUGGAGAAAACACCUGUCUCCGGAUCACAUUUUCAAACUAAGAGCAACCGGGGUAUGGCAUUCCUGACAGGGAGACGCGUCCAUGAUGCAUGUUAAUGUAUACAGGCAAUCAUUUGUACCUACGGGGGAAGGAUGGCCAGCCACACAGGAGGGGGACUUUUACUAAGGAGGAGAAGAAGACUGUGCUGACCGAGAUGCACGCUGGCCAUUUCGGAGUAAAGCAAAUGGUUGCCAAAAUCAACCUACGUUUCUUCUAACAGGGAAUUGUCAAGGAGGUGGACAGCUGGGCAAGUGAAAUAACCUUUUGUUUAUCAAUCACAUUCUAUAUUAUAUCUGAAAUUAUUAUGAUUUCAAUGAAUGUCAUAU